Molecule: long non-coding RNA, 1527 nt
Organism: Prosopis cineraria
Lineage: Eukaryota; Viridiplantae; Streptophyta; Magnoliopsida; Fabales; Fabaceae
Exons: 5
Source: RefSeq, a predicted model, not a curated record
UUCUCCCAGCGUGCAAAUUCAUUUUAUAAUGUAAUAUACUUGAGUGUUCAUGUGUGGAAUACUAUUAUGAAAGGAAAUUCUUCAACUAUAAUUUUUGUCCAAAUCAUGUAAAGAUCUCCCUGAUGGAACCGUGGUAUAUACCAGUAUUUUGUCAAGGUUAGUACUAUAUAAUGUUCUCAUUAAAUUUCUUGUGCCAUUUUUUGGGAGUGUCAGCUAAAUGUUUAAAGACGUUAGUAUUUACCUAAUACAACCAUUUUUUGGUGAUGUUGCAAAAAUCUGAACCAUCUUUGUUAUGGAUCCUAUUUGUGUGUCUACACACACAAUAUUGAAUUAUUUCUAUUUUGUUGUUAACUUUCUUGCUCACCAAAAGAAACAUUUUUAAUACUUACCUAUAUUAAUGCAUUAAAUAGUAGAGAUAUGCUUGUCUGCCUUUUUUUGAAUAAAGAUGAUAGCUAGCCUAACAUAAUAUGUAAUAUUACAUUGGGCUCAUGAAUUAUCUACUCAACCCUUCAUCAUUCUCCACCUUCAAACACCAAGGGGGAUGAGGAUGAUCAAAGCUCAUAAAAUUAUUAGGCAUGCCAUGAGUAUGCCUAGCUCAAGAGUUUGCGCAUCUAGCAAAGAAAUGAAGACUAGCUUCCACUGUUUGUAUUCAAACUUUUUAUCAAUUCACUUUUGUACGCAGUUUCAUGUUUGCUUGUACAUUUGUGCACAAUUGCAUGUGGUCCCUACAGUUUACACAAACCUCAGGGGUUGGUGUUACUUAUUCAAAUCAGGUAUUGCAAAUUAAGGAAAAGAUGCUAUUAUUCCAUAGUCUUGUUUGGAUGAUGCCCAAGUUGUAUUGUAUAUGUUGUUGCACAGUAUUCUGUGACACAGCAUUUCAAUAGUUCAGAGUUUGGUGCAGUUCCUAGAGUCUUUUUCUUUUAUGAUAUAAAUCCAAUCAAGUGACUAUUUGUUUAAACCUUUUCUAAUUGGAGAUUGGAGAUUUUGAUGUCAGAAAAAUCAUUUCUCCUAAGCUCAAAAUUGAAGAUGGUAAGAAAACCAGCAGAAUGGACUAGCAGGUUUGGGAUAUUUUGUCAACUACCAUUGAUUGAAUCUGAGUAAUGUUGGACUGUGCUCUAUACUCCAAGAUGAGGAGAAUUUUGGCCAUCUCCAACUCUAUCAGAUGAAUAGGUUCUCCCAGAAAUAUGAACAAGCUCUAUUAGUAUAUUCUGGAUAGCGAUAUUAAAGAGAAAAAGAAGUGUUCGUGCGGCAAGUUUUGGGCAAUUGGUGAAGCAAAUUAAAGAUUUGAAGGCGUGGACUUGGCAUCCAAAGGUGUUGUAAUGUUCCUUACAUGCAUGGCUAGAGAUAUAUCAAAAUGGGAUAUAUGGCUUGUAAGGUAAAAUAACUAUUUGGAUUUAAAAUUGAUGUCUUUGCUUUUGGUAUUUGCAUCUUAAUGCACUCAUUUGAGGCUCGGUGAUCAUUUUAUCAUUUGAUGCCUAAUCUGAAAGUGCAGAAAUAUAUUUAUAGGGAUCUACUUUUACUUUUUCA